This 243-nucleotide long non-coding RNA is filed under the name Mytilus galloprovincialis (Mediterranean mussel). The record is from RNAcentral. Lineage: Eukaryota; Metazoa; Mollusca; Bivalvia; Mytilida; Mytilidae.
CGUAUGCCGAACAUAUCAGGUUGGGUUUUUCAAUAUAUAUGUGUUGUCAACAAAUACCUGCACUGGAAAAUAACAUUAAGUCAGGGGUAAUCCGUAAUAUAUGUGUAAUUCAGGUCUCAGACAGGGUAUAUACUGUGACAUUCCCGGCUUAGGGCUUAUAUCCCCUUCGCCUUCGGCUCAGGGGAUAUAAACUCUAAGCCGGGAAUGUCACAGUAUAUACCCUGUCUGAGACCUGAAUAACAU